GCCCGAGUGGCGGAAUUGGUAGACGCGUUGGUCUCAAACACCAAUGGGAUAACACUCGUGCCGGUUCGAGCCCGGCCUCGGGUACAA
RNAcentral lists this transfer RNA (87 nucleotides) under Bacteroidetes bacterium GWE2_29_8. RNAcentral describes it as "tRNA-Leu". It matches the Rfam family "tRNA". Rfam says of the family: Transfer RNA (tRNA) molecules are approximately 80 nucleotides in length. Their secondary structure includes four short double-helical elements and three loops (D, anti-codon, and T loops). The record is from RNAcentral. Lineage: Bacteria; Pseudomonadati; Bacteroidota. RNAcentral also lists the same sequence under 1 other name.